CCUACGGGAGGCAGCAGUGGGGAAUAUUGGACAAUGGGCGAAAGCCUGAUCCAGCCAUGCCGCGUGUGUGAAGAAGGCCUUCGGGUUGUAAAGCACUUUCAGUGGGGAAGAAAGCCUUGGGGCUAAUACCCUCGAGGAAGGACAUCACCCACAGAAGAAGCACCGGCUAACUCCGUGCCAGCAGCCGCGGUAAUACGGAGGGUGCGAGCGUUAAUCGGAAUUACUGGGCGUAAAGCGCGCGUAGGCGGUCUGAUAAGCCGGUUGUGAAAGCCCCGGGCUCAACCUGGGAACGGCAUCCGGAACUGUCAGGCUAGAGUGCAGGAGAGGAAGGUAGAAUUCCCGGUGUAGCGGUGAAAUGCGUAGAGAUCGGGAGGAAUACCAGUGGCGAAGGCGGCCUUCUGGACUGACACUGACGCUGAGGUGCGAAAGCGUGGGUAGCAAACAGGAUUACAUACCCUGGUAGUC
Molecule: ribosomal RNA, 465 nt
Filed under: Vreelandella stevensii
Lineage: Bacteria; Pseudomonadati; Pseudomonadota; Gammaproteobacteria; Oceanospirillales; Halomonadaceae
Description: partial 16S ribosomal RNA
Rfam family: Bacterial small subunit ribosomal RNA
Source: RNAcentral